RNAcentral lists this ribosomal RNA (381 nucleotides) under uncultured eukaryote. RNAcentral describes it as "partial 18S ribosomal RNA". It matches the Rfam family "Eukaryotic small subunit ribosomal RNA", at positions 592 to 976 of the family's 1831-position model. The record is from RNAcentral.
CAAUAGCGUAUAUUAAAGCUGUUGCGGUUAAAAAGCUCGUAGUUGGAUUUCUGUCAAGGACAGCUGGUCCGCCCUCCGGGUGAGUACAUAGCUUGGUCUUGGCAUCUUGUUGGAAAUUGUUGCUGCGCUUGGUUGUGUGGUGCAGUUUCCAGCACAUUCACUUUGAGGAAAUUGGAGUGUUUCAAGCAGGCACAAGCCUUUGGACACAGUAGCAUGGAAUAAUUAGAUUGGGCUUUUGCUCCAACUUGUCGGUUCCUGGAGCUGAGGUGAGACUCAAUGGGGAUUGUUGGGGGCAUCUGAAUUUAGCCGUCAGAGGUGAAAUUCUUGGAUUUAUGAAAGAUUAACUUCAGCGAAAGCAUUUGUCAAGGAUGUUUUCAUUAA